RNAcentral lists this long non-coding RNA (630 nucleotides) under Numida meleagris (helmeted guineafowl). RNAcentral describes it as "lncRNA (ENSNMEG00000014880.1)". Lineage: Eukaryota; Metazoa; Chordata; Aves; Galliformes; Numididae. The record is from RNAcentral.
GUUCAUUUUGCAAGUAAAAUAUUACUUGUGGGGAAAAGGCUCUGUAUAUCGACAGGUUUUUUUUUGUGUGUUCUGACAGGCCUUUCUAGUUUGAGUUACUUCUUUCUGUACACGAUGGACCUUUCUGCAGCUGUGGCAGUGGGAGGCAGAUGGGCUGUACAGUCAGCCUGAGGGGACAGGAUUGCAGCUUCAGAACUUCCCAGUACUCCCAGUCCUCUGCCAUUCAUCACAGAGCCUAAGGGACCCACGGAGACUAAAAACACUUGCACAUCUGGCCUAUAAUCCACUCCCUUGUCUUCCAAGAGCGGCUGAUUUGGCAAAGUGCUGUGCUCACCACAAGCUUCUGCAGCCAAGUGACUUUGGAACAUGCCCCAAGUAUGGAAUUCCACACAGUCUUGCAGAAGCAAAAGCGGUCUCGAAUUCUUCAGAAAGUCUGAACCUGGGUUGUGCUGCCAAAACCUUUGCGGAAGUUGAAUACAUUUUUCUUUCAGGCUGACAUGGAUUUUCUCAUAACAGUGUGAGUUUUGAAUCAUGUUGAUGAAAUGCAAGCAGCUCAUUAAAUACAGCAACUCUAACUACUCUGAAGAUUUACUGUUCAUUAACAAAUAUUUGAAUGAACUGUAGAUGAGA